This 865-nucleotide ribosomal RNA is filed under the name Caprella mutica. RNAcentral's name for it is "bacterial SSU rRNA". It matches the Rfam family "Eukaryotic small subunit ribosomal RNA", at positions 51 to 820 of the family's 1831-position model. Lineage: Eukaryota; Metazoa; Arthropoda; Malacostraca; Amphipoda; Caprellidae. The record is from RNAcentral.
AUGCAUGUCUAAGUCCAAGCUGUGUCUUGACACGGCGAGACCGCGGACGGCUCAUUAAAUCAGUCGUUGUCCAAAUGGGCCAGUACUAAUUACUUGGAUAACUGUGGUAAUUCCAGAGCUAAUACAUGCAACUUAUACCCUGAUGCUUCUCGUUCGCGCGUUGCUGACGGGUGCUUUUAUUAGACCAAACCGCUGGGGCUCUCUUCACGGAGAGCCUGAUUUGCUAUGUGGUGACUCUGGAUAACCUUUUGAUGACAAGCGCACGUACCUCUCGUAGGACGGCGCUGCCACUUUCGAGUGUCUGCCUUAUCAGCUGUCAACCGCUCGCUAUACGCGACCGAUGGCUUUGACGGGUAACGGGGAAUCAGGGUUCGAUUCCGGAGAGGCAGCCUGAGAGACGGCUACCACGUCCAAGGACGGCAGCAGGCACGCAAAUUACCCAAUCCCAGCACAUCCUGGGGGAGGUAGUGACGAAACAUAACGAAGCGUGCGCCCUUCACGGGUCUCGCUAUCGGAAUGAGCACUUUUCUAAACACCCUGUUGAGAACCUACUGAAGGGCAAGUCUGGUGCCAGCAGCCGCGGUAAUUCCAGCUUCAGUAGCAUAUAUUAAAGUUGCUGCGGUUAAAAGGCUCGUAGUUGAAUGUCUGUUCCGAAGUGCGGCAGGUGGACGUUGGAUUUGUUGUUGGCUCCUUCGCGGUGUCCAGCUCACGCUCCCGUCCGUUAACAUCCUCCGCACUCGCGUACAAAAGGGCGUCGACCGAGAGUUCGCUCUCGCAGACGCCACAGUCACCCUGAGUAAAUCAGAGUGCUCAAAGCAGUCGUAAAGGGCCUAGCCCUGUUAACACACGGAGCGUGGCUUCGUGC